GGCUCAUUGGUCAAGCGGCUAAGACACCGGCCUCUCACGCCGGAGACAGGGGUUCGAUUCCCCUAUGAGUCACCA
This 75-nucleotide transfer RNA is filed under the name Clostridiaceae bacterium. RNAcentral describes it as "tRNA-Glu". It matches the Rfam family "tRNA". From Rfam's summary of the family: Transfer RNA (tRNA) molecules are approximately 80 nucleotides in length. Their secondary structure includes four short double-helical elements and three loops (D, anti-codon, and T loops). RNAcentral also lists the same sequence under 1 other name. Lineage: Bacteria; Bacillati; Bacillota; Clostridia; Eubacteriales; Clostridiaceae. The record is from RNAcentral.